RNAcentral lists this long non-coding RNA (5857 nucleotides) under Sus scrofa (pig). RNAcentral describes it as "lncRNA (ENSSSCG00025051152.1)". Lineage: Eukaryota; Metazoa; Chordata; Mammalia; Artiodactyla; Suidae. The record is from RNAcentral.
CUACUAAUUCCUUAACAACUGAUGAAGAGUCAUGGUCCUUGUCUUCAACAAGCUUGCAAAGACAUACACAAGAAGAGACCAGAGCUGCCUACAUGGGAUCAAGUCACAGACAUAAAUAGAAUCUAAGAAUCUGAUAGUUGGGAGUCGCAAUGAGUCCAACCUCCCACCUAAUAAGAAAUUAACUGCGUCAGACUCUUAAAAGAUGGCUUCUGUAUGAGAUUGUCAAUUGAUGACAGAUACACUUCACCAAAAAGGUUGUUGGUGGCAACCUUCCCAAUUUAGUUCAUGGAGAUGGACUGUGACAGGAUUACCGGAGAAAUGGAAACCACCUGGAGAUCAAGAAGUGCUAAAUUCCAUCUAGACACAAAUCAGAGUCAUCAUCUUGCCUCAAACUCCUCAGGAAAAAGAGUUUUUAACACCCUUCUGUUUUUCAGCUGUUUUUCCCCCCUUUGUUUUACUUAGGACAGUUUUUCUCACUGUAUCUUCAAGUUUAUUGACCUGUUAUUCAGCAGUUUUGAGUUGGCUAAGCCCACCCAGUCAUUUCUUUUUCCAUUUCAGGCACUGUAUUUUUCCACUCUACCAGUUCCAUUUUUUAAAAAUAUUCUGUAAUUUUUAAAUCUGUAAAAAUCUUAAUAUGUUUGUAAUUCCUUAAAAUCCUUGAUUAUAUCUAUAAUAGCUAUUUUAAAGCCUUUGUCUACUUAUUCUAUCAUUAUCUAUUAUUGAUGUGUCUGUUUCUUUUGUGUGAUUUUUCUAUUGGUUAUGUGUUACAUUAAACUGCUUCAUCACAUAUUCACUGAGUUUUGAUUGGUUGCUGGACACUGUAAUGCGAUAUUAUUGGCUAUCUAGAUUUUGCUUUAUUCCUUCACAAAGACUUGAUAUUUUUCAAAGUAUCUGUGCCUCAGCCUGAUCCUUUUGAGGCUUAUUUUUAAGUGUGGUUAAAGUGGGUCAAAAGUAUCUGUUACUUUGAGGCUAUUUUGGGUCCACUCCUGAGGCCUGACUAUUUUGGUGUCUUUACUGAAUGCCCUGGGUGCUAAAAGAAUUUCUUUCUACUCUAGCAGUUGAAAAUCUCUCUCAGACCUGUGUGAGUCCUGGGAAUUGCUCAGUAUACAGCUUCCUGGCAGUUGUUCUCUGUCUGGUCUCAUGGAAAUUUACCCUAUAAAUGUUUGGUGUAACAUACAGUCAAAGAUCCAGGGAAUCAAUGUGUAGAUUUCUGGAGCUCUCUUUUCUAUGUAGCCCUCUUCUCUUAUUCUUCUCCACAAAUUCCAGUUGGUGAGCGUUCAUGAAUUCAGUAUCUUCAUCUCAAUAAGGCUACUGUGAUAUGCUGGGAUUGCUUCUUCCUGCACCACAGCCCUGGAAUUGCCCCCAGGGAGAAAUCCUGGGUGAUCACAGGAUUCACCUCAUUGAUUUCCCUUUUCUCACUCCUUAACUGCCUGCUCUCUACUGUCUGUCUGAGAGCUUAUUUAAUGUGUUUUCCUAGUUUUUUUAUAGAAGAAAAAAUAAUUCUAGAACCAAUAACUUCGUCAUGGCUCAAUAAAUUAUUUUAAUGAAUAUUAGGUAGGGUGAAGAUAUAAUAUAUUGUACAUACUGUCUCACUUAAUAGAAAGGAAGGAGUACCAUUAAUCAUUAUCUGAGAUAAUAGAUGAAAAUUGGAUUUAUUUUAGGAAAAACAAGAUAAAAUCUUACCUUAUUUUUAAAAAAAAAUAGAUUAUGUGGCUGUUGGGUGGAAAAUAGAUUGGAAUGAUAGAAAUAAGACUGGGAACGGGAAAACUAGUUAGCAGUCCACUGUAGAGAUGACUGUGGCCAGGACUAUACUGAUAUUUGUAGAAAUGGUAGAAAAGUGAAUGUAUUUGAGAUAGUUUAGAGACUGUAUUACAGAUGAAUUGAAUGGUGAGUGAUGAAUGGAGAAAAGAAGCUAAGCAAAGAUUAAAGUUUCUCAGCUAUGCUUAUUGGAAUCACAUGUUUCCAUUUACUGACAGGGAAUUCUGGCAGAAGAAAAAGUUUCAGAGGAAAAACUGACCAUUCCGAUAUUUAACAUAAUGAAUUAUAUAUGCUUGGUAGGCAUCUUAGUAUGCAUAAAAUAUACAACUAUAAAUGUUGGAUGUGGUGUGGUAAAGUCAGUGUGGCCACAGUAGGAAAUGAGAAUGAGGCUUGAAAGGAAGAGGUUUCCCAUGGCUGGGGGGCGGAGAGGAGAGUUGUCACUGAAUGCCACAGAGGAUCAAAGGGGAAACACCAGGUUUAGUGAGGCAACAAGAAUGAGGGAAAAGUCUAGGCCAGAGCCUUAAUUGGAGUUUCUGUGGGAAAGGCAAGGCCAGUAGAAUAAAUAGCUUAGAAAUGUCAAAUAUGAAUAAUUCCAGUGGACCUUGGCUAUCAUGGUGGUCUCCAGUUGCCUGAAAGUUGGCUCUGCGAUGAGUUAGUCAAAGGCAAAUAUUAUUAGCUUGGUGUGUGAGAGUUUGAUAAGAAGUGGAUGGGGCUAAAUCCUCAGGCUUGGUUGAUUGUGCUCCCAGUCUUUCCUAAUUCUAAGAAUGGGCUAGCCCAGAAGGGGCAGUCUCUCCAUAGCUAGCAAGAUUUUUCAGAUGUCCAAAGAUCAUAAAAUAGGGAAAAGAAAAAACAUGGCUAGUACAAUAAAGAUACUCAAGUUUGAGGAUUUGGGGAGAGAUCAGAAAUUCAGAUAUAAAUAUUUAGUCAAUGGCUUAUAGCUUGCAAUUGAAGCCAUGGAAGACUGAGAUGAUUUCAGAAGAGUAUUUAGAUAGGGAAAAGGUGAGAUCUCAGGACAUAUUCCAAAGGAACUCCAACUCUGGAGGAUAAGAAAGAGGAACUGCAAGGACACAGAGAAGAAAAAAGUCAGAGGUAGGAAGAAAAUAAGAAGGACAGGGUAUCAUGAAAUCCAGAGUAAGAGAAUAUUUUAAAAAGAGGGGCAUGCUACAAGAAACCACAGCCUAGGUGUUGAUAGAUGCUAACAAUUAAAACAACAUAUUGAAUAAAGAUGGUUUAAUCACCACAUACUCUGGAGUACAAAGGAGGGAAGGACCUUUAUCAUUUGUGUGUUCAUGUUUACCCUUCCGAUGCUAAUUUAAUAAAAUGCAUUUAGUUCUAUAAAAAAACAGGGGUAUGCUACACUUCACUAAAUGUUGUAAAAGAUGAAACCGAAUUGAUACAUAAGAGAAUGUAUUUGAUUUUGAAUUAUGGAGGUCACUGGUGACGUUGCUAAGUUUAGGCCGUGGCCAGAUUUGAAUAGGUUUAAGAAAAAUGGAUGGUGCAAUAAUAAGUGAAGUGUAAGAAACUCUUAGAAAUUGAGGGGUGGGCAGUAAGUCAAAGGAGUAGUGGGUAGAGAGGACAGGUCAAAUAAUAAGUUUUUAAUGUUGUAAUAUACUACAACAUAUUGAAUUGCUGAUGGAAAAGAUCCUAUAUACUGGGAGAGGUUGAACACAUAGGAUAAAAGAAUGAAAUAUUCCUUAAAAGUGGUAGGGGAUAAGAUCGAGGAUAUGAGUGGAAGAAUUAGGACAGGAAGUGGGGUGCAUCCUCUACUGUAGAGGCAGGACAUCAGAAUACUUGAGACUACAGCUUAGGUUCAGAAUGCAAUCUGCUCUUUUCAAAUCAAAGCUCCUAAGCCUUUCUGUGUAACUUUGGGCAAGUUAAUUCAUCUAUUUGUCUUUUAGCGUCCUUACUGGUGAAAGGAGGCAAUCAUUAUAGUAUUGACCGCACAAAGUGGUCCCAAGUACUGAAGGAAACUCACCUCAGACAAUGCCUGUGUGUGCAUACCCAGACACGCACAGAGCUUAACACAGUGCCCUGCAGUAAGGAUUAAGUAAAUUUUAGACAUCAUAUAAUAGAACAAAAGAGUAUUUGUGCAUUGCAAAAAGACCAGCCUGAUCUAAAAUCCGAGGUUGUUUAUUUACUAUCUUCACCAGAUAGCUCUGACUGUGAACUUACACUUUUGAAGAAGUUGGAGUAUAAGUACUUAUAUACAGAUCCAUGAUGGAAAUUGCCAUCUAAAGCAGUGCUACUCAAACUCUAGAUACAAAUGCUUGUCCAAGAACUGUUUAAUGCUGGUCUGUGAUGAGUAUAUAAGUUAAGAGGAACUGUUAAAAAAAAGGUUUAUGAUAAAGUUUAUAUGUCUUGAAAUAAUAAUAAUUUUAAAAUUAGGCUUGGAUCAUUUCUUUGUUUUUAUACAUUUCAUAUUAAUGCAUUUUAUUGGAUUUUUAAAAAUUGUUAACCCAUACUUAAUUAGAAAAACAUAAACAAACCCUGUUCCAACUGUACAAAUAACUUGAGAAGUGCAGAAUAAAGCAUAAAACCUAAUGCCCUUUUUCAAAGGGUUGUUGGAAAACCCACAUUUAUGUGCUUGUUUUUUGUGCACAAAUGAUGGCUAGAGAUUAUAAAAGAGUAAGACACAAUUGCUUACUUACAGGUAUGUAAAUCUAGUAUUUCUAGUAUAAUCUAAGUAUGUAAUGUACACAAAUAUGACAGUCACAUAAUUAUAAAACAGAAUAUUAACCUAGUUAAAAUUGCACUAAUUAAAAGAGACUGCCUGGAAAAAAUCAAUGCCCAUUUUUUGGAGGAGUUAAAUGAUGACCAAUACAUCAAUGUGGCUUGGGAUUGGAUUCGAAUUUUAAUAUUCCUUAAAGAUGUACAGUUGGGAAAAUUCAUUAAACUAUUAAUGCAACCAAUAUUUAUUGAAAACUCAAUAAUCGACCACCGUUAUACUGUUAAAAACAUAGCAGUGAAUGAGAUACCUUUGGUUUCUGUCAAAGAAUUUUUAAAAAUGCAUUGGACUACUUUAUUUGAGGAAAUGAUAAAUGCCAUGUUGAAGAUCUGAGGGAGUUCCUGUCUUGGCGCAGCAGAAACAAAUCCGACUAGGAACCAUGAGGUUGAGGGUUCAAUCCCUGGCCUUGCUCAGUGGGUUCAGGAUCUGGCGUUGCCGUGACCUGUGGUGUAGGUCACAGACGUGGCUCGGAUUUGGCAUUGCUGUGGCUCUGGCUUAGGCUGGAGGCUACAGCUCUGGUUAGACCCCUAGCCUGGGAACUUCCAUAUGCCAUGGGUGUGGCCCUAAAAGAACAAAAAGAAAAAAAUCUGAGAAGGGCAGUCUGGGAUGCUAUUUUCCAUAGGAUGAUGACUGAAAGACUCUCUGAUAAGGAGAGCUUUGCACAGAGACCUGAACAAAAGGAGGGAUUGGCUAUGCAGUUUAGGAAAAGAGUGUUCCAGAAAUGUGGAAUAGCUAGUGCAAAGUCUGGAGAUGGGAAUACAUGCACUGUAUUUAAAGAUCAACAAUGAGGGCUUUACAACUGGUGAAAAACAAGUCAAGAGAAGAGGAGUGAAAGAUGAGGUCAGAACUCAGAUUUGUAGUGUAUCUUACGCUAGGCGGGGAUUUUGGUUUUUUGGUUUUUGUUGCUUUUACUUUUAUUUAAAUAGGAAGCCACUGGAGAUUUUUAGCAGCAUCACGUGAUUUACCUUACACUUUAAGAAUUCUGAGUAGCACUGAGAACUAUGUCUAGAUACUCAUAUUGCAACAGAACAAAGGGUGGGGAAAAAAUGUAUACAUGUAAGAGUAACUUGAUCCCCAUGCUGUACAGUGGGGAAAAAAAAAAGAAUUCUUCUGUUUUUUGAAAAUGUAGUAGGCAAAUGAAGAGGCAAGGAGAAUAGUGAAGAGACUGCUGUAACAGUCCAGGUGAGAUAUUAUGGCUAAAUAAGCGCAGACAUCAGGAGGGCCUGAGUGUCAGCGGUGGUGAGAAGGGGUAGGUUUUGACCACCACACAAAUCUGUCUAUAAUUUGGACCUGAUGUAUUUUUCUGGUAUCAAUUUGUAUUAUGUCUUGCCCAAUGACCAUGAUGACAUCAAUAAUAAUAAAAACUAAUGAAUG